GCCGGGGUGGCGGAAUGGCAGACGCAGGGGGCUUAAAACCCCCGGGGCUUCGGCCCUUGUGGGUUCGACUCCCACCCCCGGCA
RNAcentral lists this transfer RNA (83 nucleotides) under Gemmatimonadota bacterium. Its description in RNAcentral is "Gemmatimonadetes bacterium (freshwater metagenome) tRNA-Leu". It matches the Rfam family "tRNA". Rfam says of the family: Transfer RNA (tRNA) molecules are approximately 80 nucleotides in length. Their secondary structure includes four short double-helical elements and three loops (D, anti-codon, and T loops). Further hydrogen bonds mediate the characteristic L-shaped molecular structure. tRNAs have two regions of fundamental functional importance: the anti-codon, which is responsible for specific mRNA codon recognition, and the 3' end, to which the tRNAs corresponding amino acid is attached (by aminoacyl-tRNA synthetases). tRNAs cope with the degeneracy of the genetic code in two manners: having more than one tRNA (with a specific anti-codon) for a particular amino acid; and 'wobble' base-pairing, i.e. permitting non-standard base-pairing at the 3rd anti-codon position. Lineage: Bacteria; Pseudomonadati; Gemmatimonadota. The record is from RNAcentral.